This 442-nucleotide small RNA is filed under the name Vigna angularis var. angularis. RNAcentral's name for it is "Non-protein coding transcript". The record is from RNAcentral. Lineage: Eukaryota; Viridiplantae; Streptophyta; Magnoliopsida; Fabales; Fabaceae.
GAAAAACGUGUGUUGGAAGAAAGUGAAUAAAAACUGCAUGUGGGCUGUGACGGCAAAACCAUUUAUCAAAUCCCAUCUUCUCAAACACACCCUUCCACUUCUUCUCAUGGCAAACCAAACAUCACUCUCCUUCUCUUCCGGCUUACCCGUUCACGCGCCUCUGAAGCGCGUGGGCACUCACAAUGGAAGUUUUCACUGCGACGAGGCCCUUGGCUGCUUCAUGAUUCGCCUCACUCACAGAUUUAACAACGCCGAAAUCGUUCGCACCCGAGACCCUCAGGUUUUGGAGGGUCUUGAUGCUGUUCUUGAUGUUGGGGGAGUCUAUGACCCUGCCCGAGAUCGGUAUGAUCAUCAUCAGAAGGGUUUUGAAGAAGUUUUUGGGCAUGGUUUCUCCACUAAAUUGAGCAGUGCUGGUCUUGUUUAUAAGCAUUUUGGAAAGGAG